AUCAGAACAGCUACUCUCUUUUUGUCUGUCCUCUUUUGAGAACGUGGGUCAUCAUUUGUGUUAGCUGAAUAAGGAAAGUCUUCUCUGCAGUAGUCAAAGUACCUGAAACUCUUACUCAGUUUUAGAUACAACCAAACUGCAUCAAGACAGGCUGCUUGAAGACAAAAGGUUAUCUACUUCAACGGUCAUUUUUGCAACGACUCUUUUCUAGUUAUAUAUAUACUAAAGGAAUCAGUUGUAAAGAUAAUUAAGGAUUAUUAACACGCACGAACAAACUCUGAAUUCCUCAU
This 290-nucleotide long non-coding RNA is filed under the name Trifolium pratense (red clover). RNAcentral's name for it is "long non-coding RNA (TPRA_LNC007553)". Lineage: Eukaryota; Viridiplantae; Streptophyta; Magnoliopsida; Fabales; Fabaceae. The record is from RNAcentral.